This 1685-nucleotide unclassified non-coding RNA is filed under the name Hevea brasiliensis (rubber tree). The record is from RNAcentral. Lineage: Eukaryota; Viridiplantae; Streptophyta; Magnoliopsida; Malpighiales; Euphorbiaceae.
UUCAAUAUGUCAUUGAACCAUCCAGCUGGAGUUCUAACAGGUCCAUGACCAGCUAUAUCUGUGUUCAUCACAAAGUAUUGAGGUAUAGAUAUACCGAGGAAUAGAGAGACACCGAGCACGUAUAUAUUCCGCAUGGAGUUUUUGUUCGCAAAUUGGAUGAAGGAAAUACCAAUAGCAGCUACUAUACCGUAUAAGAUGCAGUAGAUAGCUGCAAAUAUGGGCAAAGGAAUUUGAGCAAAGAAUGCUCCGAAUUUUCCAAAUAUGGAGAAGAAGAUCAUGAAAGCAGUAGAAAUCUGAACAACUCUUCUACUCCCAACACGAGUUAGUCCCAGAAGGCCGACAUUUUCAACAGAUGCAGUAGUACCAACAAUAGCACCAAAGAACCCGUCAAAGAGCUGUCCUAUACCCUGUAAGCCAAUGCUUCUACUCACAACAUGGGCCGGAGGGGUGGUCGCACCUGCAAGCCUUGAUGCAGCAUAAAAAGUUGCUGUUGACUCUGCUGCUGAUACAAGUGCAGCACCCAUCAUUCCAAAGACAUUGCUAGCUCUGAAUAUAGGAGUCCCCCACAGGAAAGGGUAAGGAACUUUGAUCCAUGGAGCCGAUGACAAGAGGAACGAAUGGUCAAUUCGGCAGUUCAUCUUAGUUUGCUCCUUCACAUGGUUGUAAGCACCGGCAACAGUAAGAAUAGCAGCAAAAGCCCAGAUAAACCCAAUGCAGAGGAGCAAAGCAAACCUUUCAAGUAUGGAUUGGGCAACUGGAUGAACACGUUGCAUAUACUGCUGAGAAAUGACAAGUAGAAUUAACAUGGGAAGGCCAAUCUCUAUACAAUCACCCACCUGAGGAAAACCCCUACCAAACAAACCAAGACCUACAACACAGACAAGUGGCGUAAUGACUACAGGACUGAAAAACCUUGUAAGAUUUCCCCACGCUUGGCCAUAUCCAAGUAUUAUGUUGAUAAAGGAAGACACUAUCAGUGACCCUUGAAUAGCUCUCAUAGUGUGCUUGAAUCUCUCAUGCUCACUCCUGAAAUUACUGUCCGAGAGAUCGUUAAUGACUGACAGAGCUGAUAUGAUGUAAGCAAAUGACGGACCCAUCACAGUGGGAAGUCUUGUGCCAAAAAGCGUUUGCAGAAGAGUAUUCACUCCUGAAGUGAAAAGCAAAGACUGGAUAACUUGAGCUUUGUCACCCGGACCCCCACCCAUCUGAGGUACCAGCACGGUGGCAAUCAUUACUGUUGUUCCAAGCAUAACUAUGUAGUGUUGAAAAGCCAACAAAACAGUUUGUGGCCAAGAAGGAUUUGAGUGUAUGCAGUAGUGAAGCUGAAGUAGUUGCUCUGCCGGAGGAAACAUAGGUCCUCUUGCUGAACCAAGUGGCAUUGCUGGUGGCGCCGCCGCCUGUUGCGGCGGUGGCUGGUGGUUGUGUUCAUGAUUAUGUGUCUCCCCCAUAAUUUUCUCUCAAAAAAAAAAAUCUACAAAAUAGGUCUAAAGGUUGAAUCUUUAAACUUAGUUUUCAAGAAUCAGCACCGACAUGAAACCUGAGCUUAAAAAUUGAGUCUUUUUCCCCUUUUCUUGAAAUGACUAGCAUUAAUUACAAUAGUAAGUAAAUGGAAUUUAAAUACUCAAGAUCAGAUUUUGAGAUUAAUAAGUACUGAAACAUGCAAAUUAUAGACACCCUAUUUUUUU